Molecule: long non-coding RNA, 826 nt
Filed under: Homo sapiens (human)
Lineage: Eukaryota; Metazoa; Chordata; Mammalia; Primates; Hominidae
Description: HSALNT0035294
Source: RNAcentral
AAAAAGGAGAGAGGCCUAGGUGACAGGACCCCGAGUUGGAGAGAAAGACACACAGAGGGGUGAGUCAGAGGAAAGCUACAGAAGGGUGUGCUGGGGACAGGCGUCAAGAGGUGAGGCUGCCUCAGGGAGAGGAAGCACGGGAGGAGACCUGGCCCAGGAGAGUUUCAGAGGCUCCUCCCAGCAGCGUGCAGUAGUACCUCCUCCCCCAAGAAAUCAGGAUUGUGCAGGAAACACUCUCCUACUUCUCAGUGGCCACUGGAGAGCUCUGAACCCAGCCCAGGGUCAACUGCCCGGCACUGUCAGGCAGUUCCUCUGACUCCACAGCACAUUCUAAUUGCAGUCACUCCUGCAAGUGCUCAGAGGACACCCAACCCUAUGAUCUCAGCCAACUCAUGAAGUUUGAUUUCACAACUUAGUGAUGUCUUCCCAGUGGAAUCCUAAAUGAUAAGGAAAAUGGUAUAGAGCCAAGACUUGAACAUUAACAACCCAGGAGCACAGAAACAGCACAGUUAGCUGAGAGGCGUUAUGGAGAGAAGCAACCGAAUGCACACUGAGCGCUGUGAGAAGUCCACGACAGUGGGGAACAGCGCCCACCGUCACAAAAAGAAAGACCCUCGGCAGGUACUUUAGAGUCACGUUCAUGCUGUAAUAUGUGGGGAAGAAAGACUAUUCCAAAUGGAUCUGGCUUUUUAAAACAAGGGAAUUUUCCUUGCUCUUGGGAACCAGCAAAAUCCAGCUGCUCAUUGAACUGCCUGUCUGGAAUCUCACAAAUUUGCACCUUGAAGUUGUUAAUAAAGGACUAAGUUGAUAAUUCGAACAAACCCUG